AUUGAACGCUGGCGGAAUGCUUUACACAUGCAAGUCGAACGGCAGCAUAGGUGCUUGCACCUGAUGGCGAGUGGCGAACGGGUGAGUAAUACAUCGGAACGUGCCCAGUCGUGGGGGAUAACGUAGCGAAAGUUACGCUAAUACCGCAUACGAUCUAAGGAUGAAAGCGGGGGACCGUAAGGCCUUGCGCGAUUGGAGCGGCCGAUGUCAGAUUGGGUAGUUGGUGAGGUAAAGGCUCACCAAGUCGACGAUCUGUAGCUGGUCUGAACGGACGACCAGCCACACUGGGACGGAGACACGGCCCAGACUCCUACGGGAGGCAGCAGUGGGGAAUUUUGGACAAUGGACGCAAGUCUGAUUCAGCCAUUCCGCGUGCAGGACGAAGGCCUUCGGGUUGUAAACUGCUUUUGUACGGAACGAAAAAGCUCUUACUAAUACUAGGAGUCCAUGACGGUACCGUAAGAAUAAGCACCGGCUAACUACGUGCCAGCAGCCGCCGUAA
Molecule: ribosomal RNA, 502 nt
Filed under: uncultured bacterium
Lineage: Bacteria
Description: partial 16S ribosomal RNA
Rfam family: Bacterial small subunit ribosomal RNA
Source: RNAcentral